Long non-coding RNA from Hippocampus comes (tiger tail seahorse), 392 nucleotides. RefSeq lists it as uncharacterized. The transcript is spliced from 3 exons. The record is from RefSeq and is a predicted model, not a curated record. NCBI's taxonomy places the organism in Eukaryota, Metazoa, Chordata, Actinopteri, Syngnathiformes, Syngnathidae.
CCGACUGUCUGACUCGGCAGAGUCCGUCGAAGUACAGGAAAAGCCACCAAGAAGGCACUGUGCAAGGAGACAUUAGUCAAUAAAAGCGGAUGUUUGAGGUUUGUGCUACGUUGCCGCUUGAGGAAUUGAGGCAACAUCAGCCAUAUUGAUUGGUGGGCCGAAGACCAUGCCAUGCAAACAUUUCCGCUUCUGGACCACAAGAUGAGGGCUUGAGCAUGGUUAUGAUCUUGUGGCCUAAGUCAUACUAGAUGGUGGUGUGUGGAUUCAUGCAGACUUUCAAUUUUCCAUCCAUGAGGUGCCAUUGGAACAGGAGGAUGCUGAAGGAGUAAUUAUGGGUGAUGAUUUGCAAAAGGGUAAAACAAUAAACGUUGAAAACUAAGUUUAACACUGAC